UGGGGAAUAUUGGACAAUGGGGGCAACCCUGAUCCAGCCAUGCCGCGUGAGUGAUGAAGGCCUUCGGGUUGUAAACUGCUUUUGUACGGAACGAAACGGCGAGCUCUAAUACAGUUUGCUAAUGACGGUACCGUAAGAAUAAGCACCGGCUAACUACGUGCCAGCAGCCGCGGUAAUACGUAGGGUGCAAGCGUUAAUCGGAAUUACUGGGCGUAAAGCGUGCGCAGGCGGUUAUGUAAGACAGAUGUGAAAUCCCCGGGCUUAACCUGGGAACUGCAUUUGUGACUGCAUAGCUAGAGUACGGUAGAGGGGGAUGGAAUUCCGCGUGUAGCAGUGAAAUGCGUAGAUAUGCGGAGGAACACCGAUGGCGAAGGCAAUCCCCUGGACCUGUACUGACGCUCAUGCACGAAAGCGUGGGGAGCAAACAGGAUUAGAUACCCUGGUAGUCCACGCCCUAAACGAUGUCAACUGGUUGUUGGGUCUUCACUGACUCAGUAACGAAGCUAACGCGUGAAGUUGACCGCCUGGGGAGUACGGCCGCAAGGUUG
RNAcentral lists this ribosomal RNA (548 nucleotides) under uncultured bacterium. RNAcentral describes it as "bacterial SSU rRNA". It matches the Rfam family "Bacterial small subunit ribosomal RNA", at positions 355 to 896 of the family's 1533-position model. The record is from RNAcentral.